AUAAAUAUGAAGAAAUGAUAAAAAGUACAAAUAAAGAAAUUGUAAAACUUGUUGAUAUUAUCUUAAAAGAUUCAAACGUAAAUAAAGAUCAUAUUAUUGGGUUCUUAAUUGACAAUAUAAAUGUAGACAAAACGUACGUCAAGGCUAUUGAUACGGUACUUGAAAAUCAUUAUUUUACUUUAAUUGUGGAAGAUAUGAAUACAGCUAAACAUAUAGUAGAAUUUAUAGAAAAAAGAAGAGAAAAAAAAAAAAAAUAAAGAGUUCGAUUUGAAAGAUUUUUUUUUUGGAAAAUUAACUAUUGUACCUUUAUUAAACAUAAAAAAAUAUAAUGAAUUUGCUUAUCCAAAUGAUAAAAACAUUGUUCCUUUAAUUAAUUGUGUAAAUUAUAAUAGUAAGAUAUAUGAAUUUUUAAAAAAUAUUUUAUUUAAAACUAUUAUUGUAAAAUCAUUAGAAUCUUGCCAAAACUAUUUGGAAGAAAACUAUAAUUGCGUAAACAUAGAUGGAGAUUAUUUAAGCAAGCAAGGUUUCAUGUACGGAGGAUAUAAUAAAAAGAAGUAUGGUAUUUAUACAAUUUAUAAUAAGGUAAAAGAAUUAAAAGAAGAAGAAAAAAAAGAGAAAGCUACUAUAGAAGAGUUAACUAAUAAUAUUGAAAAAGUUGAUGAAGAAUUAAGAACAAUUUAUAAUAAUAAGUCAACUAUAUUAACUGAGAAAAAUGGAUGUAUAGCAGCACUUAAUGAAUUAACGAAUAAUGUACAUGUGAAUGAUGAAAAUUUUAGAAUAACAACAGAUAAAAUAGAAUCUUUAAAAGAAAAAAAAAACCAUUUAGAAGAGUAUAAAAAUAAAUUAAAAACACAAAUCUUACAAUUAAGAAAUAGUAAUUUAAAUCCACAUAUAUCAGAACAAAGAGUUGUUGAUAUUAAUGUCAUAAAUGAUGAAAUUAAAAAAUUAAAAGCUGAGCUAAAUACAGUUAGUAAUGAAUAUGAUGAUUUUAAAAAUAAAUUGGACAUGUUAUAUCAGAAAAGAAAUGAGUGUGAUACAAAUAUAUACAUGGAGGAAUAUGAAGACAUAGACAUCGAUGAAAACUAUCAUGAACUGGAAAAUAUAAAACACGAGAUUGAUAGAGUAAGCAAAAAUAUAACACAUAUGGGAACAAUUAAAUAAGAACAAAUGGCAUAGUACAUAAAUAUAUGCACAUAUAUAUACAUAUAUAUAUGUGUGUUUUUUUUUUUUUUUUUUUUAAUAGAU
Molecule: long non-coding RNA, 1245 nt
Filed under: Piliocolobus tephrosceles (Ugandan red Colobus)
Lineage: Eukaryota; Metazoa; Chordata; Mammalia; Primates; Cercopithecidae
Description: lncRNA (ENSPTEG00000001063.1)
Source: RNAcentral